Long non-coding RNA from Homo sapiens (human), 1393 nucleotides. Ensembl annotates it as long intergenic non-protein coding RNA 1229. The record is from Ensembl. NCBI's taxonomy places the organism in Eukaryota, Metazoa, Chordata, Mammalia, Primates, Hominidae.
GGAGAACUCCAAGGGCAGGAGGUAACCAUUAAAGAGGACCAUCAUGUAGUGUGAGGAGUCAACAUUUCACACUAGAAAGCCCUUGGUUCAAGUUUUGUCUCUGCCACCUACAGAUUUUGUAACCCUGAGAGAAAAGGAAAAUCCUACGGAGGAGGGGCUCUGAUGGCUUUGAAGAAGGCAGUGAAUGGCCACAUGUUCCCUGAGGACAGCACAGGCUAAAGGCUCAGCUAGAAGAAAGGCACAGAGAUAGCAAGGGAAACUAGCUACCUCUUUAUGUACUGCCCUAUGGAGAGGCACACAUGUCAAGAAACUGAGGGAGUGCCUUCCAGUCAACAGCCAGCCAGGAACUAAGGUGCUCAGUACAGCAGCCUCCACAAAGGACUGAACAAUGCCAACAGCUAUUUGACUGUGCUUGGAAGAUCUCCGUUUAGUUAACCCUUCAGAUGAGACCGCAGCCCUGGCCAGCAAACAAAUUGCAGCCUAUGGAAAGACCUUAAGGCAGAAGCACCCAACUGAACCACCCGAGGGCUCUGACUUACAGAAACUGUGAGCAUAUAGUGAAAUGGCCUCUACCUUAUUUUGAAUGGAUUUCUGGGAUAAAGUUCUUCAGUGAUAACAUGUUUGAAGUUUCAGGAAAGAGGCACUGGCCUUUACUUCUCCACCUCGAUUCACUUCCAUGCUGUUGACAAAUGUUAUAGUUGCCCAGGAUCAGAGGGAGAGACUGACCCUGUGACCAUUUCCCCAAAGGCGGCCUUUGGCCACUCCGUGCACUGGAGCACAUGACCCUCUGCCUCGCCCCUGCCACAUUAACCAGGCGGCUAUCUUAUGUGCCCAUGUUACAUGCUCAUGAUAAAGCUGCAUUUCCUGAGGGGACACCAAUGGAUACACCUCUGCCUGGCACGCAGCUUAGAGGCUAAAUGUAUGAAAAGCAACACCAUGCAAAUCAUUUUGAAACUGCUGUGGAACUCUCACGGGACCCUCCAUUCUAGACAUCCAGUCCCACUAGUGAUCUGACCAUGAAACCUACUAAGAGACUUCCAGAAGAAGAUGACCUCUGAAAGGAGAAAACUUUCUUCCAAGCUUCUGUGGAACAAGAAGAUGCCAUCCCUUUGGUGGAGCCCAAAGGGAAACCAGGUAGUUAGCAAGAGAAACUGUUGUUAUCAUCUAUGAAAGGUGCUUCCUGGGGUUUCAGAGGAGGGUGCAGAAGGGGAACAGUGAGUCUGGAGGGACAGAUGGAACAUUCCUGCAAUGCUAUCAAUCCAUAUCUGACCCUCAAUUCAUGAAACUUUCCAGACAACCCACCCUGACAGAUCCCUCUCUUCUUAGAGCUCUCACGUACCUUUCUUUUAGCAUUUAACAUUCAUAACCUCAAAUGAAUGAUUUCUAUGCAUGA